Molecule: non-coding RNA, 455 nt
Organism: Grammomys surdaster
Lineage: Eukaryota; Metazoa; Chordata; Mammalia; Rodentia; Muridae
Source: the annotation of a RefSeq genome assembly
ACUCACUGUACAGCCUUAGGGACUUCUUUAUAUACUACUCACACCCUGUGCCAUUGUCAUUGCAGUCAGGAUUCAGUAUGGAUAUGAGGGCUCCUGCUCAGUUUCUUGGGUUCUUGUUGCUCUGGUUUCCAGGUACCAGAUGUGACAUCCAGAUGACCCAGUCUCCAUCCUCCAUGUCUGCCUCUCUGGGAGACACAAUCCGUCUCAGUUGCCGGGCAAGUCAGGACAUUAGCAGUUAUUUAAGCUGGUUCCAGCAGAAACCAGGGAAAUCACCUAAGCUUCUGAUCUAUCAUGCCACCAACAGGGAAGAUGGGGUCCCAUCAAGAUUCAGUGGCAGUGGGUCUGGGUCAGAUUAUUCUCUCACCAUCAGCAGCCUGGAAUCUGAAGAUAUGGCAUAUUAUUACUGUUAUCAGUAUGAUAAGUCUCCUCCCACAGUGAUACAAGUCAUAACAUAA